This 561-nucleotide long non-coding RNA is filed under the name Homo sapiens (human). Its description in RNAcentral is "growth arrest specific 5, transcript variant 39 (GAS5)". The record is from RNAcentral. Lineage: Eukaryota; Metazoa; Chordata; Mammalia; Primates; Hominidae.
CUUUUCGAGGUAGGAGUCGACUCCUGUGAGGUAUGGUGCUGGGUGCAGAUGCAGUGUGGCUCUGGAUAGCACCUUAUGGACAGUUGUGUCCCCAAGGAAGGAUGAGAAUAGCUACUGAAGUCCUAAAGAGCAAGCCUAACUCAAGCCAUUGGCACACAGGCAUUAGACAGAAAGCUGGAAGUUGAAAUGGUGGAGUCCAACUUGCCUGGACCAGCUUAAUGGUUCUGCUCCUGGUAACGUUUUUAUCCAUGGAUGACUUGCUUGGGUAUGGAGAGUCGGCUUGACUACACUGUGUGGAGCAAGUUUUAAAGAAGCAAAGACCUGUUAUCCUAAACUAGGGUUUUUAAUGACCACAACAAGCAAGCAUGCAGCUUACUGCUUGAAAGGGUCUUGCCUCACCCAAGCUAGAGUGCAGUGGCCUUUGAAGCUUACUACAGCCUCAAACUUCUGGGCUCAAGUGAUCCUCAGCCUCCCAGUGGUCUUUGUAGACUGCCUGAUGGAGUCUCAUGGCACAAGAAGAUUAAAACAGUGUCUCCAAUUUUAAUAAAUUUUUGCAAUCCA